UACGAAGGGGGCAAGCGUUGUUCGGAUUUACUGGGCGUACAGGGCUCGUAGGCGGUUGGAUAAGCCCUCCGUGAAAUCUCCAGGCUUAACCUGGAAAGUGCAGAGGGGACUGUUCAGCUAGAGGAUGGGAGAGGAGCGCGGAAUUCCCGGUGUAGCGGUGAAAUGCGUAGAGAUCGGGAGGAAGGCCGGUGGCGAAAGCGGCGCGCUGGACCACUACUGACGCUGAGGAACGAAAGCUAGGGGAGCAAACGGG
This 253-nucleotide ribosomal RNA is filed under the name uncultured bacterium. RNAcentral describes it as "partial 16S ribosomal RNA". It matches the Rfam family "Bacterial small subunit ribosomal RNA", at positions 524 to 776 of the family's 1533-position model. The record is from RNAcentral.